Molecule: ribosomal RNA, 253 nt
Filed under: uncultured bacterium
Lineage: Bacteria
Description: partial 16S ribosomal RNA
Rfam family: Bacterial small subunit ribosomal RNA
Source: RNAcentral
GACGAACCGUGCGAACGUUAUUCGGAAUCACUGGGCUUAAAGGGCGCGUAGGCGGCGGGGUAAGUCGGGUGUGAAAUCUCAGAGCUCAACUCUGAAAUGGCACUUGAUACUGCUCUGCUAGAGGACUGGAGAGGAGAUUGGAAUUCACGGUGUAGCAGUGAAAUGCGUAGAUAUCGUGAGGAACACCGGUGGCGAAGGCGGGUCUCUGGGCCGAAAUUGACGCUGAGGAGCGAAAGCGUGGGGAGCAAACAGG